UACAGAGGGUGCGAGCGUUGUCCGGAAUCACUGGGCGUAAAGGGCGCGUAGGUGGCGCGACAAGUCGGUGGUGAAAGCUCGACGCUUAACGUCGAGUCGGCCACUGAUACUGUUGGGCUUGAGCACUGUAGAGGCUAAUGGAAUUCCGGGUGUAGCGGUGGAAUGCGUAGAGAUCCGGAAGAACACCGGUGGCGAAGGCGGUUAGCUGGGCAGUUGCUGACACUGAGGCGCGACAGCGUGGGGAGCAAACAGG
RNAcentral lists this ribosomal RNA (253 nucleotides) under uncultured bacterium. RNAcentral describes it as "partial 16S ribosomal RNA". It matches the Rfam family "Bacterial small subunit ribosomal RNA", at positions 524 to 776 of the family's 1533-position model. The record is from RNAcentral.